AGUCCUGAGGUGUUUUCCACAUCAAAAUGCAAGUUUGAAGAAGGACCCCAUAGGGUCCCGGGGCUU
This 66-nucleotide transfer RNA is filed under the name Cophosaurus texanus. RNAcentral describes it as "tRNA-Cys". The record is from RNAcentral. Lineage: Eukaryota; Metazoa; Chordata; Lepidosauria; Squamata; Phrynosomatidae.